UCAUUUCAAAAUAUGAUGGUUUCUUUUUCCAACACCCCUUUUGCAUAUAACCAUUAAUAAUAAUAAAAAGAGACUACAUCCUCUCUUUCCUUCAUCUAAGGGGUGAAGCAAGAUUAUCCUCAGUCCAAUUCUCGUGUCCAUUCAUCUUCCAUCAUCUACAUCGUAAAUCUCGAGACAACAUCUUCCAGGUAAAAACCUUCACUAGAUCUCAAACACUCUUUUGUUAAAAGAUGGGCUAACUGAUUUUCAAAGCAACUUGCAUGUUUAAGCUGAAGAAAAUUAAAACUGUUUAUCUUUUGUUUAAUGUUUCAGAUGUAGGUGCCUAUUUCAGAUCUAUCUUGUAUAUUCUUGUUGCAUUUCUUGAUGAUUUUUAGAUAAUUACCCUCUAUAACUGCUUUUGUUAACCCCAUUUCUAACCCCGUUUGUAUUACCCAUGAACAAGCAAGGGCCUCAGCUGCAAAACCCAUUCAACCUCCUCAAUAGAAUCGAUUAAGAUACCAAAACUUUACCCAAAGUAUUUCUAGCUACGAUUCUUGAUCCGGUCUGAAGCGCACUUUAUCAAAUGUUGUAUCAAACUUUAUUUUGAUUCUCGCCCCUAUAGGAGGUUCCUAUUUCCUGCCUUCACAUUGUUUGGUAACUUCCAUUACCUCGGCGUUCUCCAGUUCUGUUAUAUAACAAGAUAUGGAAGUGACAAUUUCCCUACCUGUUUUACUGAUUCUUUCGUGCAGUUUCCUGUUUCUUUCUAUCCAUAGGCUCCAUAAUGCAAUACAGAAUACUUGCCUUUAAAUAACCAAAUCUUCAUUGAAGACCCAUGUAAGCCAUUCGAAAAAUCCCUAGUCAAAAUUUGAUAUAAUCCCAUGAACCUUAGUAAAUUCCAAACUUCUAUUGUUACAGGGUAGCCAUAAAAAACUUGGUCCAAAGUUUCAUCUACACUACCAGACCUCAGACAUAUCAGACUUGACACAAGUCGUUUAAAAUACAAAUUAGCUAAAGUGGGAAUAUAAUUCUUCGAAAUUCACCACAUUGUAAUCUUGAUUUUAGCUGGAAGUUUUAGGCUCCAUAGCUUCCUAUAUAAUUCUCUAGCAUUGGUCUAUGCCUUAUUAAAAGUAGGGUAGAAAUACUAGUUUAUAAUAGUUUGUAGGAGCUUCGUACAGAAAAUCCCCCCGAAGGCUCGCCUCUCCACACCAUUACGUCUUCAUGAAGAAUACUAGCCAACAAGAUUCUCAAUAUUCUGGUCGCAUCGACACUCGAGAAAGUAUCAAAAAUAUGUUCCCUCUUCCAUUCUCUGUUUUCACUAUCAAUUAAAUCAGCAACAAGCAUAUAAUUAUCAUUGCGAACCAUAUUACUUAAUUUAUAAUCAUCUGAACCCGGAAUCCAUGCAUGAUUAAAAAUUGAAAUCUUUUCUCCCAUACCCACUCUCCAUCCAGUCCCAUCACACAACAACUUCUUCGCUGACUAAGUACCCUUCCGAGUAUACAACGCCUCAUGUUUUAAACUAACAUUGAAAAGAUCAGAUAGAGGGUAAUACUUAGCUUUCAAAACCCGAACAACUAAAGAAUUAGGAUAAUUAAUAAGUCUCUACCCUCUUUUGGUUAAAAGAGCCACAUUAAAUUUCUCAAAACUUUGAAAACCCAAACCCCAUUGCUCUGUCUAGUCACACAUUCUUUCCAAUUCACACCAGUGAAUACCCCUUUGCACUUGACCCUUCUACCACCAAAAUCUUGCCACAAUACUCUCUAUUUCCACACACAAAGACUUCGACAAUAAAAAACAAGCCAUUGAAAACAUCAGUAUGGCUUGAAGUACUGACUUUAUAAAUACCUCAUUGCCCCAUUGUGAGAGAAAUCUCGUACUCCAACUAUCUAUUUUCCUUUUCAUCCGAUCCUUCAAGAUCUGAAAUGAAGUCUUUUUAUUUCUACCCAUUAUAUUAGGAAGACCUAGGUAUUUCUUCAGGUUAUUUGAGUAUCGAACUCCCAAUUCUGUUGAUAUUUGCACUCUUACCAUAUCGGAAGUAUUUGCACUAUAAUAUACCAUAGACUUUUCAAAAUGCACACAUUGUUCUGGAUAGUCUUCAUACUCCUCCAAAAUCCAUUUAAUGACAUGUUUACCCCUCUCUAAAGCCUCUCCAAAAAGAACGCAAUCAUCUGUAAAGAGUAGAUGGGAGAUUUGGGGCCCACUCCUACUCCCCUUUACUCAUUUUACCAAGCUUUCUCUAACUACAAGUCUCAUGAGAGAAGACAACCCCUCACUAUAAAUUAGAAAUAAAAAUGGGCUUAAAAGGUCUCCUUGUCGUAAUCCUCUAGAAGGCCGAAAGAGCUCCCUCAUGAUCCCAUUAAUACUAAUAGAAUAGGAGAUCGUCAAGACACACUAAAUCACAAUAUCCACCAAAGCCUGUGCAAAACCCAUUUGUUCCAUCAUUACCCUUAGAAAAAUCCACUCAACUCGAUCACAUACCUUACUCACGUCCAAUUUUAAAGCUAUAAAACCUCUCCUUCCAAAUUAUUUUUGCCUCAAAAUAUACAAAAUCUCAUAAGCAAGCAAUACAUUAUUCGAAAUCAGACGCCCUGGCACAAACGUACUUUGAGCACUAUCAAUGCAAAUAUUAAGAGUCUUUUGAAACCAAUUAGCUACCAUUUUUGCUAUUAUCUUAUAUAACAUUACACAAGCUUAUAGGUCUAAAAUUCGCCAUAUUAGUAGGAUGAGGGAUUUUCGGUAUGAAAAUAAUAUUCGUAACAUUCACAAGGUUAAGUUCUUUACCAUCAUUUAAAACACCCAAAUAAUAGAGACUUACAUCACAUCCCACAAUAUGCCAACAUCUUUGAUAAAAUAAUAUUGGGAAACCAUCAAACCUGGUUCCUUUGUUGGACCCAUAUCCCUUAAAGCCGCAAAGACUUCUUCCUCUGUAUAUUUCCCUGUUAAUGUCGUAUUUAUAACAACUUGUUUUCAGUGGUGUCAGAAAUAGCGAUUUCGAGACCACAACUCUAACGUAAUCAUCUGUAAAUAUUAAUUAUUUAACAUUUACGAUGUUAUUAGUAUUUUAUUAAAAUUUGGAUAUGAAAUUUUAUCGUUUGGAUAGUUAAUUAAGUAAAAAGGACUAAAUCGUAAAAAUUGUGAGAGUUGGUCUCCAUUAGUUAAGGUUAUUAAAUAGCUAUAAAAAAUUAAUUAAGGGACUUGAGUGGUAGCUAAGCCAUUUAUUAUGGGCGAUAGUGGGUUUAAAAUUUAUGAAUGUCAAUUGUUUAUAAAAGGGGUAAAUAUGUAAUUAGGUAAAUAACCUUAUUAUAGCAAAAUAUGCUAAAAUCAAAUGUCAUUUUCUUCUUUACAAUUCAACACCAAAAAACCCUAGAGGAGAAAAGAACAUAUUUGGCCAAACUUUGGCUUGGUCUUUAGGUAAGCAAACUUUGUCCAUUUUUAGUAAUUUUUAUGUUUUUGAGCUUAUAAUGGUUUAAUCUAGCUAACCGAGGACCAAUUUAUAAAACUGUUAAAAGUUAUAAUUUUUUCCAUUGAUGAGUUGAGCAGUUAAUGAAUGUUUGUGGAAGAUUAAUAAGCCUUGUUGUUAGAUUAAACUAUUUUGCAUAGUAAUUCUUUAUGAUUUUAAUGUUAAAGGAAUAAAUUGUUAAAGAUGAUAAAUUAAAAUGACUUGUUGUAAAUUAACAACAUAUAUCAACUGUCUUGAGAUUUUAAGAGGUUCGGUUAUGUUGGGUUCUAAGUAGAAAUGGUGGAAUUGUAUGAUUAUGGCUUAGAGAUUAAAUUGAAUAAAAGUGAAAAGUUGAGGGAAAUUUUGUAAAAUGUCAAAAGGACUUAAUUGUUUUAAGUGAUUUAAUUUUUUUUGUUGAAUUAGUUAAUUGAAUAAAAUUAUUGUGUUAGAUCAAGAACGAGUUGGCAAUCGUGGAAAAGAAAAGGUUGUUGUGUAGUCCUUGUACUUUGGCAUUUCUACAAAUUAGUCCUAUAAGUUCGUAUGGUUAUUUAUAUUUCUAUUGAUUCUUGUAUAUUAUAUUUUAAUAUAAUGUUAUAAUUGAUAUUGUACGUAGUAUGACCUUGAAAAUGAAUAAAGUGGAAUACGGCUUUUCUAUCAGGCCUUAGGUCGGAGAUUACUGUCAAGGUUUAAAACAGUGAUAUAAGCUGUAGCGAUGGCUUGAGGUCCUGCAUGUGUUGCAGAUUCACUACAGCUUAUGUGAGAAACAUCAUGAACCGAUUAAAAUACUGAAUGUUAGCUCAAAUGAGCUAUAUCCACUAAUUAUGUGAAAUAAAGAGCUCAUGGUACUAAUGAUUCAGAAAUAUACACUGAAGUAAUGCUCUGAUUAUUAAUUGUCUAUUGAGAAUGGUGAUUGAGGGGAAUUACAUUGCUCAAUUACAAAUUUGAUUUAUCUUGUUUAAGUUGGUAAGGUUUUUCGUUUAAUCAAACAAACUUACUGAGCUUUAUGUAAGCUUACCUGUAUUUGGUUCUAUUUUUGUAGAUUACGUUUUAUAGAAUUAGAAAAUCAAGUCAACUCGGGAAAUCACACUAUCCGGAAACCUUUGGUAGAUUUUGAUUUUGUAUGGUUAUAUGGCAUGUAAUAGGACCUUUAUGGAUAUGUUGUAUUAGUUUUUAGCUUGGUGCAAGUAUUAUACUUUGAGCUUGUGAAGUUGUGUUGAAUAACUUAUGAAGUAUGCAUGUUUCAUCAUAGUUAAGUUUGUUGGUCAUGAAUGAAAUAAAAUAAUAUCAUGUUGAAUUAUGGUAUGAAAUGAAUUGAAUGUAGAAUUGAUGUGUAAUUUGAGACCUGUAUAAGCAACUAUAGAAGUGAAUUGAUAUGAAUUGUAUAGAAGUGUCAAUGAUGGCACAUUGGUUAGGCACUUAGGUUGUUGUGUUUACAUGAAAUGAAUGCUCUUAAAGGUGUUAAAUGGCUCAUAAAGACGUAUGCUUGCAAGUGUUUAGGUACCUAAGAAUAUAGGUGAAAAAUGAGUAUGAUUUAGGUCAAUUUUGGGUACACACGGCCAUGUGAAACAUAUGGGUAGCCCACACGGGCGUGUGCUAUGAACGUGUUUAGGUGCAAUAUCCAUACGGUCUGCGACAUGGCCGUGUGACUCAAAACAGUUUUGAACACGGCGUGCAACAUGGCCAUGUGACCCAAUAUCGAAUUGAACACAGUUUAACACAGGGUAUUUUGAACGUUACAUGGGCUAGCACAGGGCCUACGACACGGCCGCGUGAAUUUAUUUCGAAUGGUACAUAGUUGGCCACACAGCCAUGUCCCUGCACUAUACGACUUUAAUAGUGUCACACGACCGUGUGACCACUAUAACAGUCCGGUUUUGACCCUAGUCGGAAUAGUAGUUUCGAGACCACAAAUUGGAGUCUGAAAAAUAUUUUAAUAUUAUUUUCUGUGUCUGUGAUAUGUGAAUUUACAUCUGUGAAAUUUCUGUGAUUUAAUUUGUCUGUUUCUGUGCUUAAUUAUGAAAAAGGAUUAAAUCGCGUAAAGUGUAAAAGUUGAGUGCUAGAUGCUAAAGCACCUAAUUGGCUUGGCUUUUAAAAAUAAAAGUCCUUGCAUGUCAAAUUUACCAUUUGUUUUAAUGGUGGACAAAAACGGCCAUGUAGUUGGUGAAUUUAAUGUUAUGUCAUUAAGGGCAAAAUGGGAAAAUGAUUAUUAAAGUUAUUAAAUGAAAAUAAACAUGAAAAUGAAGCCAUUUCAUGCAUGUAUUGCCGAAAAUACAAAGAAAUAGAAAGAAGAAGACCAUCCUAGGGUUCGGCCAUUGAUUUGAUUGAUUAAGGUAUGUACUUUGGUCCGUUUUUGAUAAUUUCUACGUUUCUGUGAUCGUUGCUUCGUGUUCUUCAAAACCCAUGUCUAAAUUUCUGUUUCUAUUAAAGAUUUCAUGAAAUGCGAUUGUUGAUAUCAUGAGUUUUGUGAUGUUUUUGAAUGAAUUAUGAAGGUUGGGUAGAUGGUUCAUAAGUUUUGUCUUUGAGUUUUUGAUGAAAUUGAGCUAUUUGGGUUAAAUUUUGAAAAUGAGGUUUAAAAGGACUAAAUUGUGAAUUGAACAUGUUGUAUGGGCUUAUAUAGAACCCAUGAAAAUCCAGCUAGCCCUUUUUGCAAAGAAAUUUUGCAUAUUGGUGAUUUUAUGAAAAAUAGACUAAAUUGUCAAAGUGUGAAAAUGUAAGGGCUAAAAUGUAAAGUGCCCUAAAUAUGUGCAUAUGGAUUAAAUUGUAUGAAAUGAAUGAUUGAAUGGUUGAAUUUGUAUUGUAUUAGAUCAAUAACAAAGAAAAUCAGACUUAGAUCGGGGGAAAUCCAAAAUAGUUUAAUAGACGACUCGUUUUAUCUGAAAUCCGUCCGAGGUAAGUCAAAUUACAAUUACGUGUUAAUUGAAAUAAAUUAUGCACAUAUAAACUGUAAUCUGUAUUGGAUGGCCUUGAGUGCCUGAUGAAUAUCUUUGGAGUAAAGUAUGAUAAUAUGUUAAUAUUUGAAAAGCUCUGUAUGUUUCUAAAAAAAGUUGACAUCUGUCUGAGACAUCGUGUAAGACCGUGUCUGGGACACAGGCAUCGAUUGAGAUUUAUGUAUAAGACCAUGUCUGGGACAUCGGCAUCGUAUCUGAUUUCGUGUAAGACCCUGCUUGGGACAGAGGCAUCGAUAUUGAAUUACAUGUAAGACCACGUCCGGGACAUCGGUAUUGUACUUAUUUAUGAGCAUCUAUGCCGUUUCUGACCCAUUUGAUGAUAGCGUACGAAAUCUGAGAUUGAGUAUAUGAAAUGUAUAACCUAUGCAGGUACGUUUGUAUCGUACUAAAUUUCUGAAUAUGAAAAACUCUGUCUCUGUGAAAUAUGUAUGGAAAUGAAGCAUGACAUAUAUGCAAACAAAGGAGCAUGGUUAAGUUUAUAAAUUAUUCUAUGAAAUGGUUAUGAAUCUUUAUAGUUGAAUUGUAUUUAUAUGCUUUAGUAGUUAGACAAAUUGUAUUUGGCUUACUAAGCUCUUUGUAGCUUACUCUGUGUGUUUACUGUCUGUUUUACAGUUAUCGUAGCUACUGAAGGCUCGGGGAUAGUCGAGGAUUGUCACCACACUAUUGAUCUCAUUUUGGUACUUUUGAAAGUGUACAUAUUUUAAUGUAUGGCAUGUAUAGGCUAGAAGGUUUAUGUAUUAAGUUUUGAAUUGUAAAUAUAGGUUAUGCAAUGAAAGUUGGCUAUCAAAUGGUAUGUUUGUGUUAAGUUUUAAUAUGGUUUGAAUGAGUUGUUGAAUGAUGAUGAAAUAGUUGUAAUGAAGCAUGUUUUGAGUAAGAAAUUGGCUUAAACCAAGCCUGCAUUGUGCCACAUGGCCAUAGCGCACGGGCGUGUUUGUUGGCUGUGGGCUUAAGUCAGUAGCUAGCUAAGAAUCACACGGCCGUGGCACACGGGCGUGUCUGUUGGCCAUGGGAAUAAGUCAGUAUAUAAGCUCUAUUUUGGCACGGCUGGUUCACAUGAGCGUG
RNAcentral lists this long non-coding RNA (7425 nucleotides) under Gossypium barbadense (sea-island cotton). RNAcentral's name for it is "long non-coding RNA (GBAR_LNC009421)". Lineage: Eukaryota; Viridiplantae; Streptophyta; Magnoliopsida; Malvales; Malvaceae. The record is from RNAcentral.